Molecule: small nucleolar RNA, 121 nt
Filed under: Otolemur garnettii (small-eared galago)
Lineage: Eukaryota; Metazoa; Chordata; Mammalia; Primates; Galagidae
Description: Small nucleolar RNA SNORA25 (ENSOGAG00000022959.1)
Source: RNAcentral
UGGUCAUUUCAGAGAUGGCUUGUGGGGCUGUAAAAUCAGGAGCUUUUAGAGCUGACCAAAGAUCGUAGUUUUGAGAGUUGCUAGUCACUCAGUAGUGCUGGGUUUUCCUAAGGAAACAAUA